AUUGAACGCUGGCGGCAUGCCUUACACAUGCAAGUCGAACGGCAGCACGGGAGCAAUCCUGGUGGCGAGUGGCGAACGGGUGAGUAAUAUAUCGGAACGUGCCCAGUCGUGGGGGAUAACGCAGCGACAGCUGUGCUAAUACCGCAUACGAUCUACGGAUGAAAGCGGGGGAUCGCAAGACCUCGCGCGAUUGGAGCGGCCGAUAUCCGAUUAGCUAGUUGGUGGGGUAAAGGCCUACCAAGGCGACGAUCUGUAGCUGGUCUGAGAGGACGACCAGCCACACUGGAACUGAGACACGGUCCAGACUCCUACGGGAGGCAGCAGUGGGGAAUUUUGGACAAUGGGCGCAAGCCUGAUCCAGCAAUGCCGCGUGCAGGAUGAAGGCCUUCGGGUUGUAAACUGCUUUUGUACGGAACGAAACGGUGAGCUCUAAUACAGUUUGCUAAUGACGGUACCGUAAGAAUAAGCACCGGCUAACUACGUGCCAGCCGCCGCGGUAA
This 500-nucleotide ribosomal RNA is filed under the name uncultured bacterium. RNAcentral's name for it is "partial 16S ribosomal RNA". It matches the Rfam family "Bacterial small subunit ribosomal RNA", at positions 30 to 523 of the family's 1533-position model. The record is from RNAcentral.